This 893-nucleotide long non-coding RNA is filed under the name Homo sapiens (human). RNAcentral describes it as "HSALNT0367529". The record is from RNAcentral. Lineage: Eukaryota; Metazoa; Chordata; Mammalia; Primates; Hominidae.
CUGGCUUAGGACCCCCAUCGCGGAUCCUAAGAUCCUUAGGACCCAACUGGAGGACUGUGGGUAUUAGGUGCCCAAGAAGAAAGCUCAGAUCUGCCGACGUUACUUGGGAUUUACUAUCCGACAGGUGUCCGAACACAGCUCGAGAUCAGAAAGAAAGCAGGGGUCCGAACGCAGCCCGGGAUCAGGAAGAAAGCAGGUCGUUUGCAAUCUACCGGAGCCUAAGGGCAGAAGGCAGGAUCGUGGGAACAAUAUCCCAGGGGGGUUUCCACUUUCUGCCAUAUAUGUAGUCACAUCGCCCACUCCGCCUUGGAAUAUUAUUAAGGACCAUCUAACACGAGGGUGUAUACGUCCUGCGAUAUUACGAGUAAUAUCAACUUCUUGGCCUCUGAAUAUGAGGAAGAAUAUCACAGGGGGUCCGAAUGCAGCCCGGGAUCACAAAGAAAGCAGGUCGUUUGCAAUCUACCAGAGCCUAAGGGCAGAAGGCAGGAUAUUAAUAACAAUUUCACAGGCUGGGUGAACACAGCCGGCGAUGCUGAAAUUAUUAUCAUCCUCUCCCCCUCUUCCCCUCCUGGCUCUCAGUCCCCGCCUCACGGGUUAUGUAGCGGGUUAUGGCAAGAAGACAAACUGCAGUUUCCUGCACAGAACAGCACAAACAAUGAUCCAAGCUCAGUUACAACACAAUAUUGGUCAUCAUUUGACCAUGGACUUCAAUAUCAACCCUUAGAAACCUUCCUAAAACAGGUCAGCAAAACACCAAGAAGCAAUAUCCUGAAUGAUAGGAAAAUAUCCUUGCUUGUGCAAAUUGUUUCCACUUAAUUUUUUUCAACAAAUGUUAAUUAUAUUUUUACUUUCUAAAAAUUUUUAAUAAAAUAUAGCCUACUUGGUUAAAAAUG